GACGAACGCUGGCGGCGUGCCUAACACAUGCAAGUCGAACGGACGAAGGAGAGCUUGCUCUCCCUAGUUAGUGGCGAACGGGUGAGUAACGCGUGAGCAACCUGCCUUUCAGAGGGGGACAACAGUUGGAAACGACUGCUAAUACCGCAUAAGCCCACAGCACCGCAUGGUGCAGCGGGAAAAGGAGCAAUUCGCUUCAGGAUGGCCUCGCGUCCAAUUAGGUAGAUGGUGAGGUAACGGCCCACCAUGCCGACGAUUGGUAGCCGGACUGAGAGGUUGAACGGCCACAUUGGGACUGAGACACGGCCCAG
This 311-nucleotide ribosomal RNA is filed under the name uncultured bacterium. Its description in RNAcentral is "bacterial SSU rRNA". It matches the Rfam family "Bacterial small subunit ribosomal RNA", at positions 28 to 334 of the family's 1533-position model. The record is from RNAcentral.